Molecule: long non-coding RNA, 1394 nt
Organism: Panonychus citri (citrus red mite)
Lineage: Eukaryota; Metazoa; Arthropoda; Arachnida; Trombidiformes; Tetranychidae
Exons: 3
Source: RefSeq, a predicted model, not a curated record
GUAAAAAACAUCAUUAGAUUAACGAUUUCAUCUCAUUUCACUUGGCCUUCAAGUGAUUAGUUAAUUGGUCACCAUUUCUAUUUUAAUCAUUUCUUAAUUGUCAACAUGUUCCAUCUUCUUGUAUCUCUUAAUUGAUUGUUCACAUUUAAUCAAGUCAACAAUCAACUCGAUUGUACAUAUUGGACAUUGGGUGUUGAUACUUUAGGGCAACAACGUCCAAUCAUCAUCAUAAUUAUCUUCGCUUCUUUGUAUCUGGAGACACAAUUUACUUUUCUCUCUCCAUUAGGCAACAAGUCUUUCGUUUCAAAAUGUGAUUUAAUUUGAUUUUGAUGACCAGAGAUCUAAAUCAAGCCCCAUCAGCUUACAAUACAAUGGUAAAUAGACAACCAAUCAACCAAUCAAUCAAUAAAAAAAAAGGGCUAACCAUCAAUCAAUCGUUGGUAUAACAUCACCACAGACCAAUGGAUAUCCAAUCUUGUGUGAAUCAAGGUAUUUGUUUUACACUCAAUAGACACACACACACACACACAAUUCCAGGUCCAUUGUUUUAUCCUUCACUAAAUUGUUAAUGUUUAUCAAUAUUUAAGAAUGAUACUAAUCAAACAUUAAUGACUCCUUUUUCCCCUUAAUUAUCCUUAAUUUGAAUCACUUAAAUUAAGCUUCACCAAUACACUCACACACAUAUAAAACUCACGCCUCGUCACAACGAAAAUCUGAUGGAAAAGGGAAUCCACCAACUUUUUAAUUUCUUUUCUAAUUCAUAUUCAUAUUGUUUUCUAAUAUUAUUUUUUUUUCCUCUAAAUUCAAUGGUUUCCCUUUGUUCUAGAGAAUCAGAGAAAUAAAGAGGUUUAUGGUUAAGCGAUCAGAGGAUAAAUCAUUUUAGGCUCAUAAUCAUUACACUGGAGGAAUUAAAAUUAAUAAUGAUCCUGAUUAACUGGAAAACAUGGUUAACAUAAUUGCUGAUAAUUGGAAUCAUGAUUGUUACUCUUAAUAUCUCAUGACAAACCAAUCGAAAUUGUGAUUCUGAUUGAAAGUACUAAUCGAAAUUGCUGGCACAUCUAUUUUCCUGUUCUCUGUUGAUUAUAAUUAUCUUUUAAAUGAUUGUCACAAUUAAUCAAUUGUAUGUUAUUGAUUUUCUCCCAUUUUUACUUUGUUUUGGUGAAAUUGUGCUGAUCAUAUGACGAUAACAAUCAGCAUCGUUAUUGGUAUUAUACCGAAACGAUUGUAAACUAAUAUUUCGUUGUAACUUGUAAAUUGUUGAUUGUAUUGAUUUUAACAAUUUACACUCUAAAUUGUAAUUGAACAAAUACUCUUUCAAUAUAUGUUAUUAAAUUGUAGUAUAUUCGAGGAGGAAAUUGUCAAACAAUUAAAACUUUGCAUGACUUUUACUUAUA